AGGACGGUGAGGCGGGAGCCAACGGCCGGCGUCAGGGGGUGGGCGCGGGAGCGCGGCGUCCAGGGGCUGGCCUAGCUGGGGCCGGAGACCCUGCGCCUUCGGGCCGAGCCGCCGAUCCUCCGCAGCCGCGGGAUCGCAGCCGCCUGGCCGUGGGCGACCCGGCACUCCCGGGCGCCAGCGGGCAUUGUCUCCGCCGCCGGCGUCCCCCGAGCCCCCCCUCCCCCCCCGGGCCAUGAUCGACUCGGUGAAGCUGCGCCGCGACAGCGCGGCCGACUUUUUCUCGCACUACGAGUACCUGUGCGCGCUGCAGGACUCGGUGCCGCUGCCCUCGGUGCGCGCUUGCCUGCGGGAGGGCGUGCUGGACUUCAAUGCCGACCGCCUGCGCAUCGUGGACUGGGCGCCGCUCUUGAGCACCCUCAAGAUUAAUAAAGAUCUGCCCCUAGUCUCUAUCAAGAGCUUCUUCCAGCCGUGGCUUGGCGAAACAGGUUCUGACAAAAGUAAAGUUUGCAGAAGUCGUGUUCCUGCGAUAAGAAACAAAGAUGUGACCUUCCAGUUAUGUAAAGCUCUCAAAUGCUGUUUAAGUGUAUCAAGUGCUCUAAAGAACCUCGAGCUAAAUGGACUAGUGCUGAGAGAGAGAGAUUUAACUAUUUUGACAAAGGGAUUGAAUAAAUCCACCUCUCUGGUGCACCUGUCUCUUGCAAAUUGCCCAAUUGGAGAUGGAGGUUUGGAAAUUAUUUGUCAAGGUAUAAAGAACUCUAUCACUCUUAAGACAGUAAACUUCACGGGGUGUAAUCUGACAUGGCAGGGAGCAGAUCACAUGGCCAAGAUCUUAAAGUAUCAGACCAUGCGAAGGCAUGAAGAAAUCUGGGCUGAGAGUCUUCGUUACAGGAGGCCUGAUCUGGACUGUAUGGCUGGUUUGAGGCGCAUCACUUUGAACUGCAACACGCUCAUUGGUGACCUGGGCGCAAGUGCUUUUGCAGAAUCUCUCAGUGAGGAUUUAUGGCUUAGAGCACUUGACCUGCAGCAGUGUGGCCUCACCAAUGAAGGAGCAAAGGCUUUACUAAAGGCCCUCGAAACCAACAGAACUCUGGUCAUUCUGGAUGUAAGAAAAAAUCCACUCGUUGAUCAUUCUGUGAUGAAAGCAGUUAUCAAAAAAGUUCUCCAGAAUGGAAGGAGCGCCAAGUCAGAGUACCAGUGGAUAACUUCUCCAUCAGUGAAGGAACCAUUCAAAACUGCUAGACAGAAAAAGAGAACUAUAAUCCUGGGAAAUGGUCGGAAAGGGAAAGCUACUAUUAGAAUUGGAUUGGCCACAAAGAAACCUGUAAGUAAUGGAAGGAAACACCCCCUUGGUAAAGAAUAUUCUCCUGAGCCUCUACCUCCUGGCGUCUCUGGUUUCCUGCCGUGGCGCACAGCGGAACGUGCAAAAAGGACCAGGGGUUUUCCAUUAAUCAAAACUCAUGAUGUAUAUAAUCAUUUGCAGCAAUCAGAUUUUCCUGUGACUGUGACAGUAGAGAGUCCUUCCUCCUCAGAAAUUGAAGAGGUCGACGAUUCAUCCGAAAGUGUUCAAGAAGAGCCUGAGAAAACCAGUUUAAAACAAGAAGCAUUAGAGGAAAAACUGGAGGAGUGCCUAAAGCAGUUAAAGGAGGAAAGAGUAAUAAGGUUUAAGGCUGAUAAACGAGUCAGUGAGCUGGAACAUGAAAAUGCCCAGUUAAGAAAUAUAAAUUUCUCUUUGUCUGAAGCCCUGCAUGCACAGUCAUUGACAAGCAUGAUCCUGGAUGACGAAGGUGUUUUGGGCAGCAUUGAGAAUUCUUUUCAGAAGUUCCAUGCUUUCUUGGACCUCCUUAAAGAUGCUGGGCUUGGGCAGCUUGCCACAAUGGCUGGAAUAGAUCAGUCAGAUUUUCAUUUACUGGGUCGUCCCCAGAUGAAUUCUACUCUCAGUAGUCUGCCUAUGGAAGAAAAGAAAGCACUUGAAGAAGAAAAACGAGAAUCAAAGCAGAACCCCCUAGGACAGAUGCAAAAUAUCCAAGUUUCUAUUUGUAUGCAGUCAGCUUGCAGUGAAGGAACACUAAUGAAGUUUCAGAAAAUCACAGGUGAUGCUAGAAUUCCUUUGCCUCUCGACUCCUUCCAUGUCCCCGUUUCCACGCAGGAGCCCUUAGAAACCUCUAGAGACAACCUGGGAGUCCCAGUCAAUGAGCAGUGGCAGGACUCUAUCACAGAAUUCAUUGCUGGAACAUGUUCUCCCUCAGCAGAUGUGAUGUCUGGAGCUGGAAGCCAAAGAAAAGAAGAUGAAUUGUCUAGAAAUAGCAGAUCUUCUUCAGAGAAAAUGACCAGAACAGAAUCUCAUUGAAAUGACUGGAGAAAUACUAAAAAUAGAAUAGCAGAAUUGGAAAACCAGAACAUGAACAGUGUGGAAUUCCUAGAAGAUAAAAAGCAGAUGAUCGAGGAUCAGUUAAUUAAAGAGGGAAGCAGCUCAGCCAUUCUGCGCACCUUUGAAGCACCUAAUUCUGGAGUUUGCCACCAGGCUAAGGCUAAGAAAACAGCCCUUUGAGAGACCUUGGAAAAUACAAACAUAUGACCUGCCAUCCUGUAUGUCCUGUGUCCAUCUAUUUUUCAAAAUCUGGCUGUCCUAGUAUCUAUGUGGAAAAUGAGCUUUACCAUGUAACCUGUGUAACUCAGAGCUUUAAACCCAAUGGCUUCCUACAUAGUAUAUUCAAACUGCCUUUUUUUUUUUUUAACUACAACCCACAGUAAAAAUUAUAUUUUAUGCAAAGGAAAAGGUAAGUGUCCUGGCCCACACCUGCCUUGUGAGCACACGGAGUGAAUGGAACAUUUCAUCGAACAGCUCUUACUGUACUUCUGGUGACAGUCUAGUAUGUUCUGUCCUGUUUCAUUCCUUUAAAGAAAAUUCUGUUUGCAACCCACCAAGUAGGUUUCACAAUCCACGACUGGGUCGUGACCUAUGGUAUGAAAACCCUGGGGAGAAUGCUUCAGACACUUGCUCUGUCUACUCCUGACCAAACUGCUGCGGGCGUACAAUGCGAGGCUGUCCCGCCUUGGCAUCCUUCCUCCAGGGGUCAAAGUCCUUCUCCAUUUGUGCGUUACUUGCAAUUAGGUAAUUUACGUGAGAUUCCCCUUUAAAAAACCCUUUGUUACAGUGAAAGCCUGAGUUUUCAAACUGAUGCAUCUACACAGAAUCCUAAAAAUAUAAUUUGGUUAAAGAAUUAAAAAAACCCCACAAAUGUCCUGUGAUUUAAGGCACUUGCUUGGUGUUGCUCACAAGGCACGUAGUGUACUUACUGUAAGGGCUGAAAGGGCUCAGUCCCUUAGUACAGUUUGUAAAUUUUAAACCAGUGUGAAUUUAAAAACAAAAAACAGAAAAACAACCAAGCAGUUUAGAGUUAGAUAAGGACACCUCCUAUAGAUUAGAUAAUCAUUAACUUUGUUCCCGAGUGACUAGGGAGGAUUACUUGGUUUAUUUUAAGGUCUCCAAAAGAUAGUCCUCAAUGUCCUUGACUGUGGAGGAGGCUCUUUUUUUUUUUUUUUUUGACAGAGACAGAGACAGCGAGAGCAGGAACACAAGCAGGGGGAGUGGGAGAGGGAGAAACAGGCUUCCCGCCGAGCAGGGAGCCUGAUGUGGGACUCGAUCCCAGGACCCUGGGAUCAUGACCUGAGCCGAAGGCAGACGCCCAACGACUGAGCCACCCAGGCGCCCUGGAGGAGGCUUUUAUCUCUACACUGGAAAAACCAAAAACAAAACUUUGCAAAAAUCUUAAAACUAGAUAAUCCCCGGGUCCUUUUGUCUUAAAGGAUAAAUUUGACUGCGGUGUGAAAACAGAAAAAUCAGGAGAGGGGAUAGGAGAGGUGUUGUAUAAGGUUACACAACAAUAUUGUAUUAUAAUCAUCAAACUUGCUAAGAGACUAGAUCUUAAUUAUUCCAACCACUAAAAAGAAAUGAUAAUUGUGUGACGUGGUGGAGGUGAUAACGCUACAAUGACAAUCAUACAAAUGUAUCAAAUCAAUGUGUUGUACACCUUAAAUUAACAAAAUGUUAUAUGUCAAAAAUAUUUCAAUUAAAAAAGCUAAAAUCAAUUUACUAAAUAGCUCUAAUUUCUUUACACCGAAGUCAAACCAAAUCUUUUCUAAGAACCUAGUGCCUUGGGGCGCCUGGGUGGCUCAGUCAGUUAAGCAGCCGACUCUUGAUUUCAGCUCAGGUCAUGAUCUCAGGGUCGUGGGAUCGAGCCCCACACGUCAGGCUCUGUGCUCAGUAGGGAGUCAGUUUGAGAUUUUCUCUUUCCUCUCCCUCUGCCCCUUGGCGUGCAUGCUCUCUCUCUAAUAAAUAAAUAAAAUCUUAAAAAAAAAAAAAAAAAGAAUCUAGUGCCUUAUUGUAUACCAGAUAGGAGACACUUUCACGUAUUAUUCCAAGACCUGGAAACCUAUGAGGGGUCAAAGGUGUUCUCUUUAUACCUUUAUAUCAGUCAUACCCUGGUUCAAGCUAUUGCUUACAAUCAAGUGAACCGCUAGCUGUUUUUGGGACGAGUGGCAAGAAUGGCAAAUUUGAAGCUAUGGAACAUGGUUUUCUUGGUUUCCUGCUCUUCUUAGGCUUAUAUCAUUUUCUGUAGUUGCUCUCUUAUCCAAUGUAGUUAAUAUAAUAACCUUGUAACUAUAUAAUAAGUUUAAACUGGCUAAUGCCUCAAAAUUUUUGGUAUAGAUUUCCAUUCAUUUUUGAUUUAAAAAAAUUAAAUAUUAUAAUUUUUUUAAAUUACAUCACUUUUUUCAGGGGCACCUGGCUCAGUCGGUUAAGCAUCCGACUCUCAGUUUCAGCUCAGGUCUUCAUCUCAGGGUCAUGAGUCCACGCUGGGCAUGAAGUCUACUUUUAAUAACUUUUUGCAGAAAUCACUCAUCUUAAACCGAGUGAAGUCCAUAGUCUUCAAGGCCUAGGAUUGAAUACAAUUGAUAAGAUGAAGUUUGGUGUUUUCUUUCACUGAUAGGAGCAGAUUUACCCUGAACCUUUUACUGGGGGUUAAGAUUUUAGGUCUUUAGGUUAAAAUAAAGCUUCAGGCCUACAACCCUCAGUUGUCCAUAAUUUUGCCAUACCUUUAAAGUAUUUCCUUUUUGUCCCAAUUUUAAUAAAUGUGCUGCCAAAGCAAGCACCCAAGUAUUCCCUUUUAUAAACAGGACCAGGGGGCGCCUGGGUGGCUCAGUCGGUUAAGCGGCUGCCUUCGGCUCAGGUCAUGAUCCCAGGGUCCUGGGGUCGAGUCCCGCAUCGGGCUCCCUGCUCAGUAGGGAGCCUGCUUCUCCCUCUCCCUCUGCCUGCCUCUCUGCCUACUUGUACUCUCUCUCUCUAAUAAAUAAAUAAAAAUCUUUAAAUAAAUAAAUAAAUAAAUAAACAGGACCAGGAUCGAACUUUCCACUAACCUGAGUUAACUCUGUUCCACCAUUUACAGAGAGAUGGUAAUCAUUUAGGGUUUCUCCCUGUUUGGUCAACUGGAAACCCAUAACUCUUCUCUACAACAAAAAGAUGCCUCUCUGCCUAUUUCUCCAUCUACCCCCCCCCCCCCCAACACCGUUCUCCCUUGAAGGAGAGUCAGUGCCUCAGGCCUUGGGUGAGAAAUAGGCCUUGCCGGUAGGACAUGGGUUGCCCUUCUGUGUUAACACUUAGGUUGUGCUUCAGCCCUUGCUGGUGACUUCAGCGAAAUUAGAAGCAGCUUCAUUUCUUCAGGGACUUCAAAGUCCCAUGUGGAAGAGGCAAGGUGCCUGCUGGAAUGAGGAACGUCUUACCUCCAAGCAGGCAGAGAUGCGUCUCCUCAAGGGUUUUGAGGAGAAGCCGCUUCUGAGGAGAGCUAAACCCCCAGCACCCGGGCCUCGGCCGGCCUUGGACUCCCGCUAGCCGUGCGGAAGGCUCCGUGGCAGAUGGACUGACCCCACGAACAUGAGUUUCUCCCAGUUGAGUUUCAGUUCACAAGUCAGGGACUCCAGACAACCGGCCAAGGGGGUGACAUCCUGGAGCACCUGAAGCCAGAUUGUUCUGCAAGUGGAGGCAGCCGUGGAAAGAACCAGACUCUACCACCAUCGCUGAACGAGGCCCCUUUGACCCUGAACUGAAGGGAAACUGGGCAGGAAAUAAUUGUGGAUUUUUAAUUUCUUUAGAGCUCAACCUUCAAGAGAAAGGAUAUUAAUUUUUUUUUAGACUUUAAUUCCUCCCUGAGAAUUUAAUAAUGUGAGGCAUUUCAUACAGUUCAAAUCAGGGCGUUUUAAUAUUGCCGGCAUUUAUUAUUUGGAGUAGAUUUAUGCCUUCAUUUGAAUUCACUGCAUAAUCUCCAGCAAGCUCUAUCGAAUGCCCUACCUGGGAAAAUCGAAGAUGGAAAACAGAUUGGGGAGUGCAUUUUGAGGCUAGAGCAUUGGGAUAGGCUUGAGGGAAUUUAAUCGGUGCUCCAUUGAGACCCAUUUCAGGGCCGUCGGGGUCCCAUGGCCGACCUCAGGAGGACUCACAAGGGGAUGGUGAUGAGGCCGGGGAGCACUCAGCAUUUUCCCAGGAAGAACAGCGGCACUCAUGCAGUGCUGAGCCCUGUGUGUUAAGAAACUCAAAUGUUAGAAAUACUGGCGACACAGGAAGAGAGACGUUUUCCCCUCCCUCCCUGUGUCAGCCGAAGUCCGUAAAGGUGAGCGUGUGCUUUCUCAGAGCUUUCGGACACUCAGCGUUCAUUCUCCUUGUCAGGCCCCCUUCCUUCUCCCAGGAUGAAGGAGUGGCUUAUUCUGGCUGUUGAGGUCAGCAGUGGGGUUGUUCAUUACACGGGCUCAGCCUCCUCCUCCUGGAUAUCUUCUGGAUCCUGCCUGUCCCCGUUGCCUGCCAUUGCCCAGUAAGUCCAUUCCAUUUGGUGAGGGAAGAGGAGAGAAAGACUAGCCUGAACUUGGCUCUCCAUCCUAGCCUGCAGUCCACCUUGGAAAGUACUGACGUGGCUACUUUAAUCCCCAUGAGAGCCUAUUGGGCUUCCGUGAACGGGUUUCAGCUGGGUUCAGAACUUUGAAGGGAAGAACAGUAGGAUUAAUUAGCAUCCCAGAAACAACACAGGCUGUGUUCCUUCAGGUGUCAAGACAAUAUAAUAAUUAACUCUGGAGUCCCACCACCCCGGCUUCUGUUCUAGGAGAGAAUGAAUAUCUUCCUCAGUUCCAGGUAGAAAUCCUGGUGAAACCACCUCACACGCAUUAGGAUGGCUACUCUAACAAACCAACAAACCCCAGAAAGUAACAAGUGUCGGUGAGGAUGUGGAGAAGGAGGAAGCCUCGUGGGCUUCCUCCCACUGCUGGUGGGAAUGUGAAAUGGUGCAGCUGCUACGGAAAUCAGUAUGGAGUCCCCCCCCCCCAUUAAAAAUAGAACUACCAUAUGAUCCAGCAACUCCACUUCUGAAUAUAUACCCCAAAGAACUGAAAGCCGGGUCUCAAAUAUGUAUUUGUACAUAUUUGUCAGCAUUUGUCACAGUAGCCAAAAGGUGGAAGCAACCCAAGCAUCCACUGAUGGAUGGAUAAACAGAAUGUGGUAAAAAAAAAAAAAUAUAUGUGAGGUAACAGAAAAUAGAUAUACUGGACUCUAAAAUACAUAUAUUUAAAAUAAAUAUAUGGGCUCCUGAAUCCUGGCACCGGGCUCCUAAAACCCUUGUCCUUUCCUAAGUGAUAAGAGCACUAGGAGCGUCUCCUGUUCCGAUGAGGUGACUCUGGAUGGGCUUCUGGAUGGGGGCUGGUCACCAAAAAAACCAAGACAUAAUUAGCAGCUUGGAGUUUUCAGCUUGGCUCCCCCUUCUCUAGAGAGAGGAGAGGGGCUGGAAAUGGAGUUAAGAAUUGAUCGUGCCUACGUGAGAAAGCCUCAAAAGAAAUUCCAGUCGUAUACGGUUCUGAGAGCUUCCAGGUCGGUGAACACAUCCACGUACCAGGAGGGUGGCAGGUGCCACACAAGGGACAGAGUCUCCUGCCUUCAGAACCCUCCCAGAUCUCACCCUAUGGAUUUUUUUUUUUUUUUAAAUCUGGCUGUUCAUCCAUAUCCUUUAUUAUAGGCUUUAAUAAACUGGUAAAUAUAAGUCAGUGUCCCUGAGUUCUGUGAGCUGUUCUAGCAAAUACUCGAAUCCAAGGGGGAGGAGGUCAUGGGAACCUCUGGUUGUAGACAAGUCAGACAGAAGAUGUGGGUAACCUGGGGACCUACUCCUUGCUAUUGGCAUCGAAGUGGGGCAAAGUCUUGAGGGACUGAGCCCUUACCCUGUGGGAUCUGACGCUAACACAAGGCAGGGAGGGUCAGAAGUGAGUUAAAUUGCAGUACCCUCAGCUGGUAUUGCAGAAUUUCUUGGUGGGGGAGAACGCCCACACGUCCGGUGUCAGAAAUGGGGUGAGUGUGGUAGUCCUGUGGGAGUAAAGACUGGGAUUUUUCUAAUGCAACAUACGAUAGAGUAGUCACAUGCACAGAGACAGAAAGCAGAAUGACAGUAGCCAGGGCCGGGAGCAGGGGAAGUUGCUUAAUGGGUAAAGAGUUGCAGUUUUGCAAGCUGGACGUGUUCUGGUGGUUGGUUGCAUACAUUGUGAAUGUACUUAAUACUACUGAACUGUACAUAUAAAAAUGAGUAAGACGGUAGGUUUUUUUGAUUAUUUGUAUUUUCCCACAAUUUUUUUAAAUCAUGGGGAAGAUUUGGGACGAACGCCCUUGGCGUUCUUUUUUUUUUUUUUUUUAAACAUUUUAUUUAUUUAUUUGACAGAGAGCGACACAG
This is an RNA transcript of Mirounga angustirostris (Northern elephant seal), 8747 nucleotides long. It is a transcript of the gene named centrosomal protein 78, with no coding region annotated. The transcript is spliced from 18 exons. Lineage: Eukaryota; Metazoa; Chordata; Mammalia; Carnivora; Phocidae. The record is from RefSeq and is a predicted model, not a curated record.